CUCUUCAAAACAUUAGAAUAAUUCUUUUCUUUUCUACUCAUCUUCCUCCACUAUUUCUUCCCCCAAAUCAGCUUCUUAUCAAUGGAAUCUCAGAUCAAGACUUUCAGAUCAAAAUCGAAAUUGAAAAAUCUUCAAACUUCCAUCGAAAGUGAUUUUCCAUGAAGCUUGCGAGACAUACAAGUACCCAAACUAGGAAAAUAAUGAUCCGACUCAUUUUCAAAUGAUUAAUUAGACAAGGGGGAUGGUUUCUCCAUCGCAGGGAAAGAUCUGCAGGAGUCCAUUUGGAAGAUGGUGAUGGGUUGGGAGUUAUAAUGGUUAAGUGCAAUAUGUUUUGCAAGGUUGCUACAAAACCUUGGCCUGUGUAUGGUGAGAAAUACAGAAGUCCGUCGACGGAAGAACGAUGCUCCAUUGUCAGAGCCAAUUUUCCGACAGUCUUUGUCAGUUGAAAAUUGCUAGGAUGGCUUGAAGAAAAUUGCUAGGAUGGCUUGAAAAUUGCUUGGAUGCUCCAUUGUCAGAGCCAACAAUGAUGUUGACAAUUUUUUAAAUGUGUAUGAAAUAAAAAG
Molecule: long non-coding RNA, 563 nt
Filed under: Olea europaea subsp. europaea
Lineage: Eukaryota; Viridiplantae; Streptophyta; Magnoliopsida; Lamiales; Oleaceae
Source: RNAcentral